This 274-nucleotide ribosomal RNA is filed under the name uncultured bacterium. RNAcentral's name for it is "partial 16S ribosomal RNA". It matches the Rfam family "Bacterial small subunit ribosomal RNA", at positions 523 to 796 of the family's 1533-position model. The record is from RNAcentral.
AUACGGAGGGGACUAGCGUUGUUCGGAAUUACUGGGCGUAAAGGGCGCGUAGGCGGAUUAUCAAGUCAGAGGUGAAAGCCCUGGGCUCAACCUGGGAACUGCCUAUGAAACUGAUAGUCUUGAGGCCGGAAGAGGAUGGCGGAAUUCCCAGUGUAGAGGUGAAAUUCGUAGAUAUUGGGAAGAACACCAGUGGCGAAGGCGGCCAUCUGGUCCGGUUCUGACGCUGAGGCGCGAAAGCGUGGGGAGCAAACAGGAUUAGAAACCCGGGUAGUCC